RNAcentral lists this long non-coding RNA (1220 nucleotides) under Phaseolus vulgaris (common bean). RNAcentral describes it as "long non-coding RNA (PVUL_LNC002071)". The record is from RNAcentral. Lineage: Eukaryota; Viridiplantae; Streptophyta; Magnoliopsida; Fabales; Fabaceae.
CUAAGAGUUGUGGGAGAAAGAGAAGAUGAACCAAAAUUGGGUAUGAAAAAGUGAAGGUGGGCAUAGAGAAAAACCUGAAGUGGGUAAGUGGGUAUAUGAAAAAGCAUUGCAGGCAGAGAAUCAAGCUCCAUAGAAUUUGCAUUGUGGACCUGGGAUUUGUUCUCGUGGCUCGAGGUUGCUGUUAGAACAUGGAAUUGGAAGGUAAACACCCGUGACUGAUACGGCUAAAGUUUUUGCUUAUUUGUCCACACUACACUUGUUUUUAACAAGAAUGCACUGAUUCUUCUAUCACAAAAGAAUAUUGGAAACACCUUGCUAAGCCAAAUGUGGAUGGUUAUGAUUAUAAAAAAUGCAACACUGAAAAGGAGGACACAUGCAUAAUAACUGGUUAAGAUCACAGUAGCUUCAUAGAGUUUACUUCAAAUACUGCAAUUGCUACUGUUUAGGUUGGCUUUAUUACCACCAAUGAUGACCCAACAAAAGGGUAACUUAAUGAAAAAUUAUACUGCCAGAAUAAUUUGUUUUGUUUUCCUUUUUAGCUUCGAAUUAGAUACUAUAAAUACGUGUAUGAGGUGAAAAGUCAGAUCAAAAUAUGCACUUAAAAGGAUACAAGUUAUUGCAAUGUCUGAGGAACAGACAAAAAAGGUCAUAUGGAACAUUAAUUGAGUACUAAAAAGAUUGAGAAUUCAUAGAUAUUUCCCUCUCUGAUUUAUCUCAUCCUUUUAAGACAUUCUGCAAAUUGUGAUCAAAUAAGAAAUUGCCAAUGGUGUGACCACAAAAAAAAAUAUUCUAUAAAUUUUAAUGCGAAUCAAAAGGUCUUUCAUCAAUAUAGAGUAUACAUAUAUUUAUAUUCAAUUAUAUGGCAAAGAACAUAUCUACCUGUAUGGAUAGAAAAGAGUGGCACAAAGAGUUUUUUUUAUUUAUAUCUGAGGCUUGAAUUCUAAUGCGAAUAUAAUGGUUUGGCGCAUGAUCAAUGCAUGCAGAUACAAAGGUGUAAACAGUGAAGAAACAGAAACAUUUUUUUGGAAAGGACUGAAAAUUUGUGUACUGGAACAGGUAGAACAAUGAAACUGAUGUGAAAUGGAGAACAUUAAAAGCCUGUAAGAAUGUGAAUUAAGUUCUUCUCUCCCCGAUCUUGUCUUUAAUCUUUUUAUGUCAUUUCACUUUUGGUAUUUCCACCAACAUGCCUAAAACCUUAUCAUUUCGCAUAAAGCACUGGA